CAGAUUGAUGUAUCACUGCUGAGUGCAAGUUUAUGUAAUGUACCAACAAAUGUCAUUAUAGUAGCAGCAGCCGAAAUAGCAUUAUUUAUUGCAUUAGCGCCUGAGGGUGAAUUGAAUUAUCCUGACUGGCAAUUUUAUAGAGGGUGUUUACCAAAAAAGUGUUUCAAAGGGAGAGACAUAGAGUUGGCUGCGAUUGAAAAAACUCGAAAGAAGCUGAUAAAACUGGCACUGCUCUCAAGUAACCCUACCACGGAUUAUAUAUCGGUUUAUAAAAAGUAUAAGCGUUCAAGAUACGGACAUAUAUCAGAAAUUGUCAUUGGAAGAUUGUUAAAAAUUUCGCACCAUGAUUAUGAUUAGAACGUGUUAUCUAUUUAUAGAGAAUUUGGUCGUAAUCGAUUUUAAAUGUACGAAGAAUUGAAUGAUUUUAUUUUUACGUUAUUACUUAGCGACAUUCAUUUCGUUGUAUUUAUUAUUUAAUAGCGACUCUUUGAGAUUAAACGGUUGUUUUUCUUUAUAAAAUCCUCUUCACUACGAAUUUUAGUUGCAGAAAAAAAUAAUUUUUAUGUUGUAUAUUCUUAAUUAUGUAAUCGACAAUGAGGAUGUUUUUCUUUUGAAUAACAAUUUUAAGUGAUUGGAUUAAUAAAUUAUUAUUUCUAUUGUCA
Long non-coding RNA from Belonocnema kinseyi, 662 nucleotides. RefSeq lists it as uncharacterized. The record is from RefSeq and is a predicted model, not a curated record. The transcript is spliced from 2 exons. NCBI's taxonomy places the organism in Eukaryota, Metazoa, Arthropoda, Insecta, Hymenoptera, Cynipidae.